GAUGAACGCUGGCGGCGUGCCUAAUACAUGCAAGUCGAGCGAACAGAUAAGGAGCUUGCUCCUUUGACGUUAGCGGCGGACGGGUGAGUAACACGUGGGUAACCUACCUAUAAGACUGGGAUAACUUCGGGAAACCGGAGCUAAUACCGGAUAAUAUUUCGAACCGCAUGGUUCGAUAGUGAAAGAUGGUUUUGCUAUCACUUAUAGAUGGACCCGCGCCGUAUUAGCUAGUUGGUAAGGUAACGGCUUACCAAGGCGACGAUACGUAGCCGACCUGAGAGGGUGAUCGGCCACACUGGAACUGAGACACGGUCCAGACUCCUACGGGAGGCAGCAGUAGGGAAUCUUCCGCAAUGGGCGAAAGCCUGACGGAGCAACGCCGCGUGAGUGAUGAAGGUCUUCGGAUCGUAAAACUCUGUUAUUAGGGAAGAACAUACGUGUAGGUAACUGUGCACGUCUUGACGGUACCUAAUCAGAAAGCCGCGGCUAACUACGUG
This 497-nucleotide ribosomal RNA is filed under the name uncultured bacterium. Its description in RNAcentral is "partial 16S ribosomal RNA". It matches the Rfam family "Bacterial small subunit ribosomal RNA", at positions 28 to 507 of the family's 1533-position model. The record is from RNAcentral.